This 177-nucleotide small nuclear RNA is filed under the name Tursiops truncatus (common bottlenose dolphin). Its description in RNAcentral is "U2 spliceosomal RNA (ENSTTRG00000024611.1)". The stretch from base 1 to 96 matches the Rfam family "U2 spliceosomal RNA". From Rfam's summary of the family: U2 is a small nuclear RNA (snRNA) component of the spliceosome (involved in pre-mRNA splicing). Complementary binding between U2 snRNA (in an area lying towards the 5' end but 3' to hairpin I) and the branchpoint sequence (BPS) of the intron results the bulging out of an unpaired adenosine, on the BPS, which initiates a nucleophilic attack at the intronic 5' splice site, thus starting the first of two transesterification reactions that mediate splicing. Lineage: Eukaryota; Metazoa; Chordata; Mammalia; Artiodactyla; Delphinidae. The record is from RNAcentral.
UUUCUUUUUCGGCCUUUUGGCUAAGAUCAAGUGUAGUAUCUGUUCGUAUCAGUUUAAUACCAUGUGUGCUUUUAACUGACACCAAAUUGACUCUUUACACUUGGCUAAGAAGCAUGAAAAGACAAGACAAAAGGAUACACAGUGCAGACAGUUACAUCUGCCCCUGCACUCAGAAGG